AGCGAACGCUGGCGGCAGGCCUAACACAUGCAAGUCGAACGAUCCUUCGGGAUAGUGGCGGACGGGUGAGUAACACGUGGGAACGUGCCUUUUGGUUCGGAAUAACUCAGGGAAACUUGAGCUAAUACCGGAUGUGCCCUUCGGGGGAAAGAUUUAUCGCCAUUAGAGCGGCCCGCGUCUGAUUAGCUAGUUGGUAGGGUAAAGGCCUACCAAGGCUACGAUCAGUAGCUGGUCUGAGAGGAUGAUCAGCCACACUGGGACUGAGACACGGCCCAGACUCCUACGGGAGGCAGCAGUGGGGAAUCUUGCGCAAUGGGCGAAAGCCUGACGCAGCCAUGCCGCGUGAAUGAUGAAGGUCUUAGGAUUGUAAAAUUCUUUCACCGGGGACGAUAAUGACGGUACCCGGAGAAGAAGCCCCGGCUAACUUCGUGCCAGCAGCCGCCGUAA
Molecule: ribosomal RNA, 447 nt
Filed under: uncultured bacterium
Lineage: Bacteria
Description: partial 16S ribosomal RNA
Rfam family: Bacterial small subunit ribosomal RNA
Source: RNAcentral